UUAAUACUUCAGUUUCAUUAUGAAUAUAUCUUUCACAUUCAUUUGUUAAAAUUUACUGUUUGCAAUAGCAUGAAUCGUUCUAUAUAAAAGUGUUCUUAUCCCGGGCAUAAAAACAAUGCCGUAUUUGGCAAAAUCUUUUCAACUUUUGAUCUUCAGUGCUGUACAACUUUGUACUUUUUCACUUUCGAUCUUUUAUAUCUGGGCGUUAUGUAUUCGGGUUUAGUUUUCUGUAAUUAGUUAAUACUUCAGUUUCAUUAUGUAUAUCUCUUUCAUAUUCAUUUGUUAAAAUUUACUGUUUGCAAUAGCAUGAAUUGUUCUAUAUAAUAAGAAUGUUCUUAUCCCGGGCAUACAAACAAUGCCGUAUUUGGCAAAACCUUUUCAACUUUUGAUCUUCAGUGCUGUACAACUUUGUACUUUUUUCACUUUCGAUCUUUUAUAUCUGGGCGUCACUAGUGAGUCUUGUGUGGACAAGACGCGUUUUUGGCGUAUUGAAUUUUAAACCUGAUGCUUUUUGUUAUCUAUUAAUCAUGCUUUUCUUUGUCUAAUAUGGUCUCCUUUUUAUUUGUAUUGUAGUCCUGUAAUAUUAUGUUGUCAUUUCAAUGUUAUAUUUAACUUUGCCAUUAAAGUGCGAGGUUCAACCCACCACUUUUAUUCCCCUUUAAAAGUGUCCUGUACCUAGUCAGGAAGAUGGCCAUUGUUAUAAUAUUGUUCGUUUCUGUGUGUGUUGCAUUUUAACGUUGAGUCGUUUGUGUUUUCUCUUAUUUUUG
This 767-nucleotide long non-coding RNA is filed under the name Mytilus galloprovincialis (Mediterranean mussel). The record is from RNAcentral. Lineage: Eukaryota; Metazoa; Mollusca; Bivalvia; Mytilida; Mytilidae.